RNAcentral lists this unclassified non-coding RNA (171 nucleotides) under uncultured fungus. RNAcentral describes it as "sequence contains ITS1". The record is from RNAcentral. Lineage: Eukaryota; Fungi.
UUAAAUAUUAUAUAUUUUCUCAGACAUAUUAAUUACAAGAAUGGUUAUGACUUUGGCAAACACAUGGAGCAUAUGUUCACCAAAGCAACAGGGUAUAAUAUUCAGGACGGGAGAUAUACCCAGAAGGGCCAUUUCUCUCUAAUGAUCCUUCCGCAGGUUCACCUACGGAAA